UUCGUUGGGCGCGCUUCUUCGCGCAAAUAUUUUUAUAUUUUCCAUCUCUCAAGAAAAGAUACACUACAAAAAGCAUACACAAGACAAUUUUUUUCUUUCUUCUUACUGGCAAAAUUUCAUUUCACUCGUUUUAUUUCACUUUGCCAAAAAAUCACAAAAAAAUCCGAUUUUUUCAYGACGACGACAACGACGGUGUUGUGUUUGUUGUUGCAAUCGACACGACUGUUCCUUGGCGCGUUUCUUUGCGUUGCUUGCGUUUACCGGCAGGCAGUAUCUCGACUUUUGUACUGACUUUUGGUUUGGUCUGGAGAAGAAUGCGAGACAAUUUUCGGUGCUUUUUGACUGUUUGGAACCUUUUUAAUAAUUACGUUGAAACGUUGUUGAUUCUUAUUAAAUAUUGUUUUGUUGAAUCUGAGGACGAACAAAAACAAAAACAACUCCCAAUCAAAGUCAAGGAAACCAAACAUAUGGCAAGACAACUCUAGGACAAACAACAAAAAAGGAAUACCUAAACCAAAAAAAGAAAAAAAAAA
Molecule: long non-coding RNA, 533 nt
Organism: Bactrocera latifrons
Lineage: Eukaryota; Metazoa; Arthropoda; Insecta; Diptera; Tephritidae
Exons: 2
Source: RefSeq, a predicted model, not a curated record